UGGCUCUCGCAUCGAUGAAGAACGCAGCAAAGCGCGAAAUGUAAUGUGAAUUGCAGAAUUCAGUGAAUCAUCGAAUCUUUGAACGCACCUUGCGCUUUCGGGCUAUUCCUGAAAGCAUGCUUGUUUGAGUGUCGCAUACUUCUCAACCCCGCCUUUUUGUAAUGAAAAGGUUGUUUGGGAUUGGAUCAUGACGCCUGUCGGCCAUUUUACUUUCAAAGUAAACCGACUGUGUUGAAAUAUAAAAAGCUGAAUCUAUACCGGCAGCUUGACCUGUUGUUGUAAAAUAAUUAAAUCAAUAGGAGCGCCGUCAAAGAACGAGCUUACCAUAAAACCAUCUCUUUGAAUAUUGACCUCAAAUCAAGUAGGACUACCCGCUGA
This 378-nucleotide unclassified non-coding RNA is filed under the name uncultured fungus. RNAcentral's name for it is "partial contains 5.8S ribosomal RNA and internal transcribed spacer 2". The stretch from base 1 to 134 matches the Rfam family "5.8S ribosomal RNA", at positions 22 to 154 of the family's 154-position model. Lineage: Eukaryota; Fungi. The record is from RNAcentral.